Molecule: ribosomal RNA, 443 nt
Filed under: uncultured bacterium
Lineage: Bacteria
Description: partial 16S ribosomal RNA
Rfam family: Bacterial small subunit ribosomal RNA
Source: RNAcentral
CCUACGGGAGGCAGCAGUGGGGAAUAUUGGGCAAUGGGCGCAAGCCUGACCCAGCAACGCCGCGUGAAGGAAGAAGGCUUUCGGGUUGUAAACUUCUUUUCUCAGGGACGAAGCAAGCGACGGUACCUGAGGAAUAAGCCACGGCUAACUACGUGGCAGCAGCCGCGGUAAUACGGCGGUGGCAAGCGUUAUGCGGAUUUACUGGGUGUAAAGGGCGUGUAGGCGGUAAAGCAAGUCAGAUGUGAAAACCAUGGGCUCAACCUGUGGCCUGCAUUUGAAACUGUUUUUCUUGAGUACUGGAGAGGCAGGCGGAAUGCCUGGUGUAGCGGUGAAAUGCGUAGAUAUUAGGAGGAACACCAGUGGCGAAGGCGGUCUGCUGGACAGCAACUGACGCUGAGGCGCGAAAGCGUGGGGAGCAAACAGGAUUAGAUACCCUUGUAGUC